UACGUAGGGUGCAAGCGUUGUCCGGAAUUAUUGGGCGUAAAGAGCUCGUAGGCGGUUUGUCGCGUCGGCUGUGAAAACCUAGGGCUCAACUCUGGGCUUGCAGCCGAUACGGGCAAACUAGAAUUCGGUAGGGGAGACUGGAAUUCCUGGUGUAGCGGUGAAAUGCGCAGAUAUCAGGAAGAACACCAGUGGCGAAGGCGGCUCUCUGGGACGGUACUGACGCUGAGACGCGAAAGCGUGGGGAGCGAACAGG
RNAcentral lists this ribosomal RNA (253 nucleotides) under uncultured bacterium. RNAcentral's name for it is "partial 16S ribosomal RNA". It matches the Rfam family "Bacterial small subunit ribosomal RNA", at positions 524 to 776 of the family's 1533-position model. The record is from RNAcentral.